RNAcentral lists this transfer RNA (30 nucleotides) under Arthroleptis sp. KMK-1998. RNAcentral's name for it is "partial tRNA-Val". Lineage: Eukaryota; Metazoa; Chordata; Amphibia; Anura; Arthroleptidae. The record is from RNAcentral.
CAAAAUAUAGCUUAACUCACCGCCCGUCAC